CAAUAGCGUAUAUUUAAGUUGUUGCAGUUAAAAAGCUCGUAGUUGGAUUUCUGGCAGGGCGCCGAUGCCCGCUUGUUGCGUGUGCAGAGCGCCCUACCAUCCUUCUGUUAACUUGUCAUGGCAUUCAUUUGUCGGUCAAGGGCUCAGAUAUUUUACCUUGAGAAAAUUAGAGUGUUUCAGGCAGGCUUGCGCCGGAAUACAUUAGCAUGGAAUAAUAGAAUAGGACUUGAAUCUCUUCUGUUGGUCUGAGGGGUUGAAGUAAUGAUUAAUAGGGAUAGUUGGGGGCAUUAGUACUUAACUGUCAGAGGUGAAAUUCUCGGAUUUGUUAAAGACGGACUACUGCGAAAGCAUUUGCCAAGGAUGUUUUCAUUAAUCAAGAACGAAAGUUGGGGGCUCGAAGAUGAUCAGAUACCGU
Molecule: ribosomal RNA, 415 nt
Filed under: uncultured eukaryote
Lineage: Eukaryota
Description: SSU rRNA
Rfam family: Eukaryotic small subunit ribosomal RNA
Source: RNAcentral